AGAGUUUGAUUAUGGCUCAGGAUGAACGCUAGCUACAGGCUUAAACACAUGCAAGUCGAGGGGCAGCAUGAUCUUAGCUUGCUAAGAUUGAUGGCGACCGGCGCACGGGUGAGUAACGCGUAUCCAACCCUCCCCUUAGUAGGGCAUAGCCCGGUGAAAAUCGGAUUAAUACCCUAUGUUUUCCAAUGAGGACAUCUGAGCUGGAACAAAGAUUGAUCGCUAAGGGAUGGGGAUGCGUCCGAUUAGGUAGUCGGCGGGGUAACGGCCCACCGAGCCAUCGAUCGGUAGGGGUUCUGAGAGGAAGGUCCCCCACACUGGUACUGAGACACGGACCAGACUCCUACGGGAGGCAGCAGUGAGGAAUAUUGGUCAAUGGACGUAAGUCUGAACCAGCCAAAGUAGCGUGCAGGAUGACGGCCCUAAUGGGUUGUAAACUGCUUUUAUCGGGGGAUAAAGUGAGGGACGUGUCCCUUAUUGUAGGUACCCGAUGAAUAAGGACCGGCUAAUUCCGUGCCAGCCGCCGC
RNAcentral lists this ribosomal RNA (524 nucleotides) under uncultured bacterium. Its description in RNAcentral is "bacterial SSU rRNA". It matches the Rfam family "Bacterial small subunit ribosomal RNA", at positions 8 to 518 of the family's 1533-position model. The record is from RNAcentral.